This 263-nucleotide long non-coding RNA is filed under the name Elaeis guineensis (African oil palm). RNAcentral describes it as "long non-coding RNA (EGUI_LNC018394)". Lineage: Eukaryota; Viridiplantae; Streptophyta; Magnoliopsida; Arecales; Arecaceae. The record is from RNAcentral.
AGAUUGUGGGUUGCUGAUCUUCAUAAAUAUCUUGUGUAGGAGAGAGUCUCUUCUAGUUACUUGUAGUCACACGAAGAUGUCCGGCCUCUACAAAACAUCCACACGAAGACUGACACAGAUCAGGCUCCUUGGAAGUGAUAGCUUGCAAAGAUCUUUGAAGGCUGAACUCUUCUUCUUCUUUUGAUAUCUUGAAUGCUCCAAAGGAGAAGAAGACUUAGAAGUGGAAGAUAAGAAGAGAGAGACCUCUAAAGAAAAAUGAAACC